CCGCUUGGGCAGCGCAUAUACUAAAAUGGGAACAACACAGAGAAGAUUAGCAUGGCCCCUGCACAAGGAUGACAUGCAAAUUCACGAAGCAUUCCAUAUUUUA
Small nuclear RNA from Hippopotamus amphibius kiboko, 103 nucleotides. The record is from RefSeq and is a predicted model, not a curated record. NCBI's taxonomy places the organism in Eukaryota, Metazoa, Chordata, Mammalia, Artiodactyla, Hippopotamidae.